This 1359-nucleotide long non-coding RNA is filed under the name Piliocolobus tephrosceles (Ugandan red Colobus). RNAcentral's name for it is "lncRNA (ENSPTEG00000006050.1)". Lineage: Eukaryota; Metazoa; Chordata; Mammalia; Primates; Cercopithecidae. The record is from RNAcentral.
AGAAUUAUAUAGUCUUAAUAAAAAGGGUCUAUACAAACUGAUUUUAAAUGGAAUAUUCUAUCAUCACUCACAACUAGGUAAAGAUGAAAAAAAAAUCAUUGUAAAUGCUUUUAAAAACAAUAUCCUCUUUUGUAUAUGUUGUACAACAACAUUGUCAACUGGUCUUAACUUCAAUGUUCAUACUAUUAUUAUGAGAAAUAUUAAAAUAGGUAAAGAUUAUAUAACAAAAGAACAACUUACACAAAUUUCCGGACGAUGUGGUAGAGUACAAAAAAGACAUUCCCUUGCUAACAUGGGCCUUUCUAGCUUGUGCGAACUAGCAUCCGAACAAACAAGCGAACUAACACGCGAACUAACAGGCUUACCUAAUGAACAGACCGAAACAAAUGGGUACCCCCAAAACAAAUCCAUUUCCAACGAAGUUCCAAAAGUAAUUGACUAUGAUAACGAUUGUGAUGGGAAAAUUAUAAUUUGUUUAUCUCCUGCAGAAAAAAAAAAUUUUGAAACAAUCAUAAACCCUGAUUUAAGUUUAUCUAAGAUAUUAAAAAGUAAAAUAGAAGGCUUUUACCUUUGCAAAUUUAUUAUAGAAUUAUUAGAGUUAAAUAUUGUAACGACCAAACAAAAUGUAAAUGAUUUUUUUUUUCGUUAUACACUUAAAUUUUUUAAUUGUAAUAAAUGGAGUAAUAUAACCUUUGACGAAAAUUAUAAUAAGUUAAAAUAUGGUAAAGAAGAUAAUGAUUACAAUAUAGAUUGUAUAAUGAAUGAGAAAAAAAAACUGACACACGACAUAAAAACGCAGAAUAAUAUGGAAGCAGCGUAUGACGAAAUAAAACAUACAUUCCAGUUUUUAUUUGAAAAUAAAUUAAUUAGUAUAACAUGUGAAAAAGAAAAAAUUUAUUAUAGUAUAUUAUUUGAACAAUUAUAUGACAUUAAUUCAAAAAAUAUAGAACAUAUAUUUAUUUUUCAAAUAUUAGAUAAAUUUAUAAACGUUAAUAUGUUAAUGCGGUCUACUAUGGAACGAAAAAUUCAAAUGUUUCGUAUGUUAUGUAAAAACUGUGUAGGUAUGUCUAUGGACGUUCAUACAAAUCUCUAUGUAAAAACACCCGAACAAAGUAAUAGUCCUACCAAUGAUGAAACACCCUUUUUCUUUUUACCCUUUCUCACAGUUUUAUUUAUUUUUAAAGAUAAAAAUAUGAACAACAGAAUGUUUCAAGAUUUGUUUAUUCAAUUAAUUAAAUACUUAUUUUUAAUUAAUACAAAUAUAAAACCGCGUGAUGGUUUUUUCUAUAUUUAUGACUAUUUAAAUGAUACAGACAUAAUUUCAUGCACUGAGUUAUCUCCUUGCCUUCAUAAUAUUCA